RNAcentral lists this ribosomal RNA (428 nucleotides) under uncultured bacterium. RNAcentral's name for it is "partial 16S ribosomal RNA". It matches the Rfam family "Bacterial small subunit ribosomal RNA", at positions 355 to 774 of the family's 1533-position model. RNAcentral also lists the same sequence under 1 other name. The record is from RNAcentral.
UGGGGAAUAUUGGACAAUGGGGGGAACCCUGAUCCAGCCAUGCCGCGUGUGUGAAGAAGGCCUUUUGGUUGUAAAGCACUUUAAGCGAGGAGGAGGCUACCUAGAUUAAUACUUUAGGAUAGUGGACGUUACUCGCAGAAUAAGCACCGGCUAACUCUGUGCCAGCAGCCGCGGUAAUACAGAGGGUGCGAGCGUUAAUCGGAUUUACUGGGCGUAAAGCGUGCGUAGGCGGCCAAUUAAGUCAAAUGUGAAAUCCCCGAGCUUAACUUGGGAAUUGCAUUCGAUACUGGUUGGCUAGAGUAUGGGAGAGGAUGGUAGAAUUCCAGGUGUAGCGGUGAAAUGCGUAGAGAUCUGGAGGAAUACCGAUGGCGAAGGCAGCCAUCUGGCCUAAUACUGACGCUGAGGUACGAAAGCAUGGGGAGCAAACA